UACGUAGGGGGCAAGCGUUGUCCGGAAUCAUUGGGCGUAAAGCGCGCGCAGGCGGCUCUCUAAGUCCAUGGGUAAAAGGCCGGGGCUCAACCCCGUGUACGCCCAGGAUACUGGGGAGCUGGAGACACGUAGAGGCAAGCGGAAUUCCGGGUGUAGCGGUGGAAUGCGUAGAGAUCCGGAAGAACACCGGAGGCGAAGGCGGCUUGCUGGGCGUGAUCUGACGCUGAGGCGCGAAAGCGUGGGUAGCAAACAGG
RNAcentral lists this ribosomal RNA (254 nucleotides) under uncultured bacterium. RNAcentral's name for it is "partial 16S ribosomal RNA". It matches the Rfam family "Bacterial small subunit ribosomal RNA", at positions 524 to 776 of the family's 1533-position model. The record is from RNAcentral.